This 710-nucleotide ribosomal RNA is filed under the name Plinthina binotata. Its description in RNAcentral is "eukaryotic LSU rRNA". It matches the Rfam family "Eukaryotic large subunit ribosomal RNA", at positions 2287 to 2835 of the family's 3401-position model. The record is from RNAcentral. Lineage: Eukaryota; Metazoa; Arthropoda; Insecta; Diptera; Tabanidae.
AUGCCUCGUCAUCUAAUUAGUGACGCGCAUGAAUGGAUUAACGAGAUUCCUACUGUCCCUAUCUACUAUCUAGCGAAACCACAGCCAAGGGAACGGGCUUGGAAUAAUUAGCGGGGAAAGAAGACCCUGUUGAGCUUGACUCUAGUCUGGCAGUGUAAGGAGACAUAAGAGGUGUAGCAUAAGUGGGAGAUAUAUUAGUUUCGGCUAAAUAUAUCAAAAAUGAAAUACCACUACUCUUAUUGUUUCCUUACUUACUUGAUAAAAUGGAACGUGUAUCAUUCACUUAGCCAUUUUAUGAAUAUAUUUAUAUAUUUUAUGGUAUUUUGUUUUGAUGCGAGCUUCUUGUUUAAAGUACCAAGAGUUUGUUAUAUACACCAAACAAAUAUCAAUUAAAUUUGCUUUCCAUUAAUAAUGGUUUGUUAAAUAUUAAUUGAAUUUGGUAUAACUAUUAUACUUAGGUAUGAUCCAAUUCAAGGACAUUGCCAGGUGGGGAGUUUGACUGGGGCGGUACAUCUCUCAAAUAAUAACGGAGGUGUCCCAAGGCCAGCUCAGUGCGGACAGAAACCACACAUAGAGCAAAAGGGCAAAUGCUGACUUGAUCUCGGUGUUCAGUACAUACAGAGACAGCAAAAGCUCGGCCUAUCGAUCCUUUUGGUUUAAAGAGUUUUUAACAAGAGGUGUCAGAAAAGUUACCACAGGGAUAACUGGCU